RNAcentral lists this long non-coding RNA (4630 nucleotides) under Macaca mulatta (Rhesus monkey). Its description in RNAcentral is "lncRNA (ENSMMUG00000063740.1)". The record is from RNAcentral. Lineage: Eukaryota; Metazoa; Chordata; Mammalia; Primates; Cercopithecidae.
AUGCAGGAUGUCUUAGAGGAUAAAAAUGAGCGGGCAGAUGAAGAGAUACUCAGGGCGAGGUUCAGAAAAGUGCACCGAGCCCACCUCAUGGAUGUGAGAAAGAAAAGUGGCUCAGAGCAGCCUGGGAAACGUGAGGUCUGUGACCUGGGUCAGGCCCAGAGAGGCCUGAGCAGGAGGCGUGUGAAGUCCCCGCACCGUGCCAGGCGGGAAACUGUUUCAGGGCAUUUGCGUUUCUUUCCCUGUAGUUUCAGGCUAGGUGAUAAAUUACCUACAAUGUUGCCACAAGACGCACAAUGUAACCGUCACUCAUUAUCUUCAUGUUCCUGGAAUUUUUUUUUUUUUUUUAGUCUAAAAAAUAAAAAUAGGGAGUGGGAGUGUAGCCAGCUCUGGGGCGGGGCGGAGAUGGCGUGCGGAGGCGGAGUGAGUGAGUAGCCAUGCACCCGCCUGGGUGACAGUGCGAGACUCGUCAAAAAAAAAAAAAAAAAAAAAAGAGAUAGAGUGUAGCCCUGCCUGCCAGGCUGGAGUGUAGCGGUGCAGUCAUGGCUCAGGGCAGCGCCAACCUCCUGGGCUCAAGCUGUCAGAGGCACGUGAACCAGAGCAACUCCAUCUUGAAUGGGGCUGGGUAACAUGAGACUGGGACCUAUGGGGCCACGUUCCCAGACAGUUAUGGUAUUCUGAGUCACAGGGUGAGACAGGCGGUCAGCACAAGAUACAGGUCAUAAAGACCUUGCUGAUAAAACAGGUUGCAGCAAAGGAGCCGCCCAAAUCCCACCAAAACCAAGAUGGCGACGAGAGUGACCUCUGGUUGUCCUCACUGCCACACUCCCACCAGCGCCAUGGCAAUGGCAGGAAGUCACCAUACACGGUCUAAAAAGGGGAGGUAUGAAUCAUCCACCCCUCGUUUCGCAGAUCAUCAAGAAAUAACCACAAAAACAGAGAACCAGUGGUCCUCGGGGCUGCUUUGUCUAUGCAGUAGCCAUUCUUUUUUUUUUUUUGGAGAUGGAGUCUUGCACUGUCACCCAGGCUGGAGUGCAGUGGAAUGAUCUCGGCUCACUGCCACCUCUGCCUCCUGGGUUCUUGGCAUCCUCCUGCCUCAGCCUAGCUGAGUAUCUGGGUUUACAGGCGCCCGCCACCACGCCCGGCUAAUUUUUUGUAUUUUUAGUAGAGCCAGGGUUUCAGUGUGUUAGCCGGGCUGGUCUCGAACUCCUGACCUCAUGACCUGCCUGCCUCAGCCUCCCAAAGUGCCGGGAUUACAGGCACGAGCCACCGCGCCCGGCCAGAGUAGCCAUUCUUUACUCCUUUACUUCCUAAUAAACUUGUUUUCACUUUACUCUAUGGACUCGCCCUGAAUUCUUUCUUGUGAGAGAUCCAAGAACCCGCUCUUGGGGUCUGGAUUGGGACCCCUUUCCCGUAACACAGCCAUUCUCUCGCCUCAGCCUCCCAAGUAGCUAAGACCACGGGUGCGUGCCACCGAGCCUAAUUUUUAAUUUAUAUUUUUAAGAGAUAGGGUCUCCAGCCUGACCAACAUGGUGAAACCCUGUCUCUACUAAAAAUACAAACAAUGAGCCUGGCGUGGUGGUGGGCGCCUGUAGUCCCAGCUACUCGGGAGACUGAGGCAGGAGAUUUGAUUGAACCUGGGAGACGGAGGUUGCAGUGAGCCAAGAUCGCGCCAUUGCACUGCAGCCUGGGCGACAGUGAGACUCUGUCUCAAAAAAAAAAAAAAAAAAAAAAAAGAUGGGGUCUCAAAGUGCAGCCCAGGCUGAUCUCAAACUCCUGACCUCAAGUGAUCCUCUCGCUUCAGCCUUCUGAAGUGCUGGGAUUACAGGCAUGAGCCACCACACCGGGCCCACUGUGUAGGCAGUGAGUCACACCUGUAAUCCCAGUACUUUGGGAGGCCGAGGUGGGAGAAUCUUGAGCUGAGGAGUUUGAGACCAUCCUGGGUGACACAGUGAAACCCUGUCUUUGCUAAAAAUAAGAAAAUUAGCUGGGUGUGGUUGGGCACGGUGGCCCACGCCUGUAAUCCCAGCACUUUGGGAGGCUGAGGCAGGUGGAUCACGAGGUCAGGAGAUCGAGACCAUCCUGGCUAACACAGUGAAACCCCAUCUCUACUAAAAAUACAAAAAAUUAGCCGGGCGCGGUGGUGGGCGCCUGUAGUCCCAGCUACUCGGGAGGCUGAGGCAGGAGAAUGGCGUAAACCCGGGAGGCGGAGCUUGCAGUGAGCAGAGAUUGCACCACCACUGCACUCCAGCCUGGGCAACAGAGCGAGACUCCACCUCAAAAAAAAAAAAAAAAAGAAAAGAAAAGAAAAUUAGCUGGGCGUGGUAGCGCACACCUGUAGUCCCAGCUACUCUGGAGGCUGAGGACAGGAUGGCUUGAGCCUGAGAGGUAGAGAUUGAAUGAGCUGAGAUCAUGUCCCUGGGUGACAGAGCAAUAGCCUGGGAAAAGGAAAGGAGAGGAGAAAGGAAAGUCAGGCCGGGCACGGUGGCUCACGCCUGUAAUCCCCGCACUUUGGGAGGCCGAGGUGGGCGGAUCACUUGAGGUCGGGAGUUCGAGACCAGCCUGGCCAACAGGGUGAAACCCCCGUUUCUACUAAAAAUACAAAAUUAGACAGGUGUGGUGGUGUGUGCCUGUAGUCCCAGCUACUCCAGGGGCUGAGGCAGGAGAAUCACUUGAACCCAGGAGGCAGAGGCUGCGGUGAGCUGAGAUCAUGCCACUGCACUCUGGCCUGGGCGACAGAGCAAGACUCCAUCUCAAAAAAAAAAAAAAAAAAGAGAAAAGGAGAGGGAACAGAGGCUUGUAGUUCUGCAGGCUGCACGGGCAUGGUGUCAGUAUCUGCUUGGCUUCUGGGGAGGCCUCGGGAACCACCCAUGGUGGUGGAAGGCCAAUGGGGAGCCAGGGUAUCCCACGGUGAGGGAGGAAGCAAGAGAGAAGGACUGGGAGGGACCGAGAGCCAGACCAACGGGCUGAGCGGCGCCCACCCAGGUUUCCAGAGGAAGGAGAUUUUGGGUGGGAAACAAACUUCACCGGGUGUGGCUGUUCGUCACAGGAACGUGUCCUGCUGGUCACUUACGAUUGCUGGGCCUGUGACAGCGGCAACCGGUCAGGCAUGGGCAGGGCAGGAGAGGGCUCCCCUCCCACACACCAGGAUGUCGGGAGACCUUCGGGUGAUGGUCAGGCGGUUGUUAGCUGCCUCGCUAACAUAAUACUUGUUGCAGCUGGCACCAGGGAACGACAGUCUCCCAGCAGAGAGCAAACACCUGAAACGUGAUCAGCCGCUUCCCAGUACGAUCUCCGGAGCUGGGUGAGCGGGCCGGAGCAGGCCCACUAAGAAGCAAAAUGGCGGAGUUUAACUGGUCUGUGGCCUUCAAGGGAUCUGCAGCUGGUCAUGAAGAGCAUCUCAAGUGAGCACAAGCACAGCUCCAGCCAACGCACCACACACGCUCCCGUCCCGAGCGCUAGCAGACCACGGCACACACGGACAGCCCACCCAUGGGAGGAAUCACAGAGAAGGGAUGCGAGACCCCGGGAGCACGCCUGUCAUCCCAGCACUGUGGGAGGCCAAGGCAGGCGGAUCACAAGGUCAGGAGUUCAAGACCAGCCUGGCCAACAUGGUGAAACCCCGUCUCUACUAAAAAUAUAAAAAAUAGCUGGGCGUGGUGAUGCAUGUUUGUAAUCCCAGCUAAUUAUGAGGCUGAGGCAGGAGAAUCGUUUGAACCCAUCAGGUGGAGCUUGCAGUGAGUCGAGAUGGCACCACUGCGCUCCAGCCUGGGUGACAGAGCGAGACUCCGUCUCAAAAAAACAACCCCAAGUCAAAGGUCGAACUGCACACUAGCCUUUUGAGUUGCCUGCUUGGGCCUUUUCCAAGUGUACUUGCCUUCAUUUUGUUCCUGCUCUAAAGCUGCUCACUUUUCUUUCUUAAUUAUUAUUAUUAUUUUGAGACAGGUUCUCACUCUGUCACCCAAGCUGGAGUGCAGUGGUGUGAUCUCGGCUCACUGCAACCUGUGCCUCCCAGGUUCAAGCAAUUCUCCUGCCUCAGCCUCCCAAGUAGCUGGGAUUACAGGCAUGUGCCACCACGCCCGGCUAAUUUUUGUAUUUUUAGUAGAGGCAGGAUUUCACUACCUUGGCCAGGCUGGUCUCGAACUCCUGGCCUUAAGUGGUCUUCCCACCUUGGCCUCUCAUGGUGCUGGAAUUACAGGCGUGAACCACCGCACCCGGCCUCUAAAGCGUUUUAAUAAACUGUCACUCCUGCUCUAAAACUUGCCUCAGUCUCUCCUUCUGACGUCUGCCCCUCAGUCGAAUUUUUAUUCUGAGGAGGCAAGACCUGAGGUUGCAGCAGAUCCGCGUGCAUUUGCUGUCGCUCCCAGACCUGGAGGAUGCCACCGUGGCCGUGGGACACAGAGAGCUGGAGCAGGCUGCUGGCUGUGCGGGCAGGGAGGAGAGAGCGCGGGGAGAGGGCUGCGGGCGGUGCUGCAGCCUCUCUCUGCGUUUCUAUGGCUCGUCUCUAACUGAGCUCAAACUCCCCAUCCUAACGCAGCCCUGCAGGCCGGGGGAGGGCGCCGGAGACCUGACCCUGAGGAGGGAGACCAGGCCCCGAGGAGGGAGACCUGACCUGGAGGAGGGAGACCAGGCC